UGGAGGCAAUAGUGGACAUCAAUCAUGCCCCUUCAAUCAUCCAUUGUAUAUGUAUAGCUGUGUGUGUGUGUGUGCUGUGUAGUUGAUGAAGAACACAUAGAGCACGAAGAACACAGUGAGAAGAAGAGAAAGAGAGAAACACAGAGAGAGCUAGGGAGAGUUGAGUUGAGUAGAGAAGAAUUUUCUCCUCCUCCUUGUUUUGUUGUUUGUAUUGUUUGUAAGCUUCAUUAAUACAAACCAGUAGCUCCGUGGAGUAGUCAAGUUGCCGAACCACGUAAAUUUGUGCGUGUUUGAGUUCUGGAAAUAACCCAACAUUGGGGUCAAUGUCGGUGCCCUACCCAACUCCUUCCUGGUUAACACUGGAGAUCACCUUGAGGUGCAUUCUGACUUCCUGGCCAUGUUAUCCCUUAUUACAAUUAGGCUCGUGGUCGAUCCAAGAUUCCCAAGGCUUAAUAAUGCUGUUAAAAAUGUGAAAUUCGUGUUUUUUUGUUACUAGAUUUUGAGCAAUGGAAGGUACAAGAGUGUUCUGCACCGAGCAAUGGUCAACAACAAGGCUACAAGGAUAUCCAUAGCUAUGGUACACGGACCAUCACUAGACUCAGUCGUUAGCCCAGCACCAGAGUUAUUAGUGAGCAGUAAAGGCAAUGAACCUGCAGCAUACGCUGGUAUGAAAUACAAAGACUACCUGGAACUUCAGCAGAGCAACAAGCUGGAUGGGAAAUCUUGUUAGGUGUGUUGCCAUUGAAUGUGCCUAACCUUGACUUUGACCAUCCACCUUUGUUGAAGAAGAUGGCAGCCAUCAUUGACUCCCAUGUGCAGCUGCUGGAAAGAAGAAGAGAAGCCACCAUCAUGCCUAUAAAUAGGCACCAUACAAAGAGAGCUUUGGUGAGAGUUGUGAAUAACGUGAGGGUGAAGAGAAAGAGAAGAGAAAGGGCUGCUGCCCAUGGCAGCAGCCUUGCAGCUGCAAGGCAGCGAGAGUGAGAUGGGAGUUGAGUGAUUAUAUCCUCCUCCAUGUAUUUAUUGUAUUCUUUCUCUACCUCAAAUAAUACAAUGAACCUCUCCCGUGGAUGUAGGCGGUUUUGCCGAACCACGUAAAAUAUUGUUGUCAGUGUGCUUACUCCUCCUAUGAGCAAUUAUCAGUACAUCACCGGUCGCCGGAUUCCGCCCAACAAAUCUUGCUUGGAUCGAGUUCGAAUUCCAGCAGUUUAGCUACUGCUUCUGUGUGUGUACCAAACCAUGAAAGUAAUAAUGAUACUUCUAUGAUUUCAUGAAUGCAAAAAUGAAUGGAUAAAGAAUGUGAUUGUAAUCAAAAUAAAGACUUCCUGUAAAAUAUAAGAAGUGGGGCAUCAUUUUUGCAGUGCACUCUUAUAGCUAUGUUUCUUCCCGCAGUUGGUUUGCGUUGUUCCAUGCAUGCUAUUACACUGGCUGCCCUGCUGCAAAUGACAGGGACUUUAGCUGUUUUCCACCGUGAGAAAUUUCAUGUCAGUAAAAGGACUUUCUCUUGUUUUAUCUCCUUAGGGCAUCAUUUAUCAUUUCUUACUGAUACGUACCACUUCACCACUUUACAUGCAGGGAUUGCACACUAGCAAACCAUGACAUGCAGGGAUGAGAAGACCACGGUGUGUAAUGACAAGAUGGAAAAGACCACGAAUGUUUAGUGGCAAAGUGAAAAACUUGGUCUAAUUUCUUUAUUUUAGUUAUUUGUUUGUCGAGUCAGUUUGUUUCAGUUCUAUUUUCAACAUUUUUAUUUUGUUGCCAUGUUUGUUAUUUUUCCUACCUAUACUACUAUAUCUAUAUAGAGCCUAAAAGAGUUCAGCGAAUUAUAUGCAGUUAUUUCUUAAACAACCUUCUCUUCUCCCUUUCUUCUUCUUGAUUCUUAAAUUAUACUUUUCAGUGGUAUCAGAGCCUGGUUACAACCAUGGACACUCGCGGUAAAACAAAUGCAGAAUUCCGCAAUAAUGUCAAUGAAAUCUUGGCACGACAUGAGAUCAGUUUCGAUCAGGUGAACGCAGCAUUACAAACAGUGUUAACCGAGCUCUAAGCUCUUCGAGCUUCUCGUAGCCAAAACAAUAACUCUUCUGAAACGAACCCCUUUGCUCGUGAUGAAUCCUCACACCCACAUACUUCUCGUUUUAACACUACAAAAGACUACUCUCAUCACAACUUCAAGUUGUCCUUUCUAAAAUUUAAUGGUUAUGAUCCAACGGGAUGGAUUUACAAGGCAGAGCAAUAUUUUGAAUUUCAAAAUAUUGCGUUGGACCAACAAGUUCAGCUGGCCUCAUUCCAUUUAGAAGGCAUCGCCUUACAGUGGCACCGGUGGUUGGCAAAAUUUCAUGGACCACUAACAUGGGAUGAGUUCACUAAUGCUAUACAACUCUGGUUUGGUCCAACCGACUACGGAGAUCCAUCAGAAGCUUUGACACGCCUUAAACAAUCCACCACCAUUGUAGCUUAUCAAGAAGCUUUUGAAAGGCUUUCUCACCGAGUGGACAACCUGCCUAAAUUUUUUUUAAUAGGUUGUUUUAUUGCAGGACUCAGAGAUGACAUUCAUAUAGAUGUGAAAAUUAAACAGCCUGUAACCUUGGCAGAUACAAUAGGGGUGGCUCGACUAAUUGAGGAACACAACCAGCUGCAAAAGAGACCAAUUCAACCACUCCGCUUCCAACUACCUUAUGCAGUAGCAAAAACCUCCUCCAAUUCAGUGGCUAGGGUGCUAGGACCUCUACCAAAUCAGCACCAUAGCCAAAGUUCCAAUAACCCACUAGCAACCUUCCAUAUAAUCACCAAUCAAGAGGCACGAGAACGACGAGAGAAAGGGUUAUGCUAUUACUGUGAUGAGAAGUUCGUUCCAAGACAUCGUUGUGCCCGACCACAAUUGUUUAUGAUCGAAGAUUCACCUCAUAUGGAUACCGAAGACGUUGAGAUCAACCAACCUGAUUUGGAACUUUCAGAGGUUCUACCUGAAAUUUCUUUUCAUGCAAUUACAGGAACCGAACAUCCACAGACCAUACAUGUCCUUGGCAAGUUAAAGAACAAGAAUGUAACAAUGCUAAUAGAUGGAGGUAGCACUCAUAAUUUUAUUGAUCAGGCUUUGGUCUCUAGAUUUGGAUUACCAGUAACUCAGGGUAAGCAAUUACAAGUCAUGGUGGCUAAUAGAAAAAAUAUUGAAUGUGCUGGACAAUGUCAGGCGCUCACCCUCAUUAUUUAAGGGCUUCUUGUCACCACCGAUUACUACAUUGUUCUUGUCGCAGCAUGCCAGUUGGUAUUAGGAGUGCAAUGGAUUGCAACUCUCGGACCAGUCAGGACUGAUUACAAGCAGCUCACUAUGAAUUUCAACAUUGCAGGAAUUUCUCACACAUUUCAGGGAUCAAGGAGAACUAGCAUUGAAGCCUUAACAAAUAAGGAGUUCAAUGGAUUACAAGGCUUGGGAUUAUUUUUCCAAAUAAUUCAUUCCAAUAGUAACAACGAACCACAGUCCUAUCCUACUAAGAUCAGUAAAAUUUUAGCUCAAUUUUCUCAGGUGUUUGAAACCCCGAUCGAUUUACCUCCACAACGGUCACAUGACCAUCAAAUUCCAUUGCUUCCUAUAGCGGGGCCAGUCACUGUGAGGCCAUAUCGAUAUCCUUAUUAUCAGAAGACUGAAAUAGAGAAAAUAGUCAAGGAGCUUCUGCAAUUUGGUUUAAUCAAACCAAGUCACAGCCCAUUCUCCUUCCCGGUUCUAUUAGUGAAGAAGGCUGAUGGUGCAUGAUGAUUUUGUGUGGAUUAUCGAGCUCUCAAUGACAUCACGGUGAAAGAUAAGUAUCCAAUUCCAAUAAUUAAUGAACUAUUAGAUGAGUUGCAUGGCGCCAAAUUUUAUUCUAAAUUGGAUUUACAUGCUGGAUAUCAUUAAAUCCGCGUGCAUGAUGCUGACAUUCAUAAAACAUCUUUCAGAACUCAUGAAGAGCAUUAUGAAUUUAUUGUGAUGCCAUUUGGUCUCACCAAUGCGCUAGUAACAUUUCAAAGUCUCAUGAAUGAUCUCUUUCGUCCCUACCUCCGAUACUUUAUCUUGGUUUUGUUUGAUGACAUUCUAGUAUAUUCAAGAUCAUGGGAGGACCAUCUCACUCAUUUGCAAACUGUUCUAUAGAUCUUAUCAGCUAACAGUUUAUUUACCAAAUUGUCCAAGUGUCAAUUCGGAGUUUUACGGGUCAGUUACUUGGGCCACAUCAUUUCCGAGCAAGGAGUAUCGGUUGAUCCCACCAAAAUCCAAGCUGUCAUCGAAUGGCCACCAUCAACAACAGCAAAAAGGGUCCAUGGAUUUCUUGGUUUAUCAGGUUACUACCAAAAAUUUAUUCGUCAUUUUACGUGUAUAACAGCACCUCUACACCGUCUCUUAAGCAAAGAUGGAUUUCAGUAGAAUGAUGCAGCAGAGAAGGCCUUCCAACAAUUGAAAGAAGCACUGACAUCCCCGCCAAUCUUACACCUUUCUGAUUUUACUCAACAAUUCAUCAUUGAGUGUGAUGCUAGUGGAAUAGGACUUAGUGCAAUUUUGCUUUAAUAGAACCAACCGAUUGCCUAUUUUAGUGAAGCAUUGAAAGGGUCAACCUUAGUAUUAUCCAUAUACGAAAAAGAAAUGUUGGCAAUCGUCAAGGCAAUCAAGAAAUGACGUCCAUACUUGUUGGGGAAACCUUUUACAUUUCGCACUGAUCAUAAAAGUCUUAAAUACCUCCUAGAGCAACGAAUUACUACACCUGUACAAUCAUGCUGGCUGCCAAAACUGCUUGGUUAUGAUUACAAAAUUGAGUAUUAACGUGGGCCUAAAAAUCAAGGUACUAAUUCAUUAUCACGUGUAGUUGAAUUCCAGUUUAUAUCUAUUUCUCAACCACAUGCAGAUUGGUAGCCACCGCUUCAGAAGGAAGUCCAACAGAACUCCUUUUAUGCUAACUUACUACACAAAUAACCCUCUCAAGCCGACCAUCAGCUGCUCCUUCGUGAUUGUGUUUGGUUCAAGCGAGACAAAAUCUAUUUGAGCUCCAGCUCCCCUUUGAUUCCAAAGAUUUUGGUUGAUUGUCAUUCAUCACCUGUAGGUGGGCACUUUGGGUUUCAUAAAACUCUAUCUUGCAUCAGACAAAGUGUUUUUUUUGGUCUAAUAUGCGACAAUAUGUGAAGGAAUUCUUGUAACAAUGUGAUGUCUGUCAAUGGUUUAAAAUAUAUUAUAUACAGCCGGCAGGAUUGCUUCAACCUCUACCCAUCCCUACUUAAAUAUGGACCGAUGUAUCCAUAGACUUUAUUGAAGGAUUACCAUCUUCUAAUGGUUAUACUGUUAUCAUGGUCGUUGUUGACAGAUUGACCAAAUAUGCUCACUUUGUGCCUUGAAACAACCAUUUUCUGCUGUCAGUGUUGCCACGAAAUUUUUUACCAGUGUGGUUCGCGUGCAUGGAAUUCCAACUUCCAUAGUUAGUGACCGAGACAAGGUGUUUAUUAGUGCCUUUUGGCGCACAUUAUUCAAUCUGUAGGGAACCAAGUUAUGUAUGAGUUCAAGUUACCAUCCCCAAUCUGACGGCCAAACCGAAGUUGUCAAUCGAACUUUGGAACAUUGUUUACGUUGUUUUGCAGGAGACCAGCCACACAAAUGGGUUCAAUGGAUUCCCUAGGCUGAGUUUACUUACAAUACUUCCAUUCAUUCCUCCAUUAAGAUGACACCCUUUGAAGUUGUUUAUAGAGUUCCCACUCCCAACUUACUGGCUUAUAUACCCGACACUUCUCGCGUCCAAGCAGUUGAUGAAUACCUGCAUGACAAGGAUACCAUCCUACUUGAGUUGCGCCAUAACCUUCAGUUGGCUCAAAAUCUGAUGAAAUGUCAAGCGGACCAACACUGGCGUGAGGUAUCAUUCACUGUGGGAGAUUAUGUGUAUUUAAAACUUUAGCCCUAUCGGCAAACUUCUGUGGCUUUUCGAGCUUCUCUUAAACUCACCCUAUGAUUUUUUGGUCCAUACAAAGUAUUAGAGAAGGUCAAUUCGGUGGCUUAUAAAUUGGCCUUGCCUCCUGGUUCUCAAAUCCAUGAUGUAUUUCAUGUCAGUUUGUUAAGGAAGCAUCUGGGUCCAGUUACUCCUUCCUCUCCUGAACUUCCCCCUAUCUCGGUUACUUCAGUUGUUCUUCCCCAACUUGAAGUUGUCUUAGAUCUGCGUGUGAUACGCAAAGGUAACUAUCGUUCAAAAUCUGAAAUUUUGGUGAAAUAUGUUGGUGCACCAGUAGAAGACGCUACUUAGGAAAAUGAGUGGUGUUUCUCCAAGUCUUAUCCAGACUUCCUCCUUGUGGACAAGGUUCCUUAAGGGGUAGGGAAUGAUAUAUACCACUUCAACACUUCACAUGCAAUGUAGUGGCACAUUAGCAAACCACGACAUGCAGGGAUUGCACACUAGCAGACCAUGACAUGCAGGGAUGAGAAGACCACGAUGUGUAAUUGUGUAAUGGCAAGAUGGAAGAGACCACGGCGUGUAGUGGCAAAGUGGAAGACUUAGUCUAAUUUCUUUAUUUUAGUCAUUUAUUUAUUGAGUCAGUUUGUUUCUGUUCGGUUUUCAGCGUUCCUAUUCUGUAGCCAUAUUUGUUAUUUUUCUUACAUGUACUGCUAUAUCUAUAUAUAGCCUAAAAGAGUUCAGCAAAGGAUAUGUAGUUAUUUCGUAAACAACCUUCUCUUCUCCCUAUCUUCUUCAUGAUUCUUAAAUUAUACUUAUCACUUACCUCCAGGGAGCUCUCCAGAAGAACAAAAGGACUUUCUCUUGUUUUAUCUCUCUAGGGCAUCAUUUCUUACCUCUAGAGAGCUCUCCAGAAGAACAAAAGGAGGAAACAAGCUUCAGGUCGAAUAUGUUCUUUUAGUGUAGUUAUAUCGAGGAAGAAUCUAAUCAUUGUAAGAAUAAAAAGAACCAAACUUUUCUCUGAAUCAAGAUCCAUUGUACAUGAAGUUCAUACACUAAAUCAUGUCCUGCAAUUCAUAAUUGAUUGAACUCUAAAAAUUAUCACAGUAUGUUUUGUUUUUGGUUCUAUCUCUUAUUGUUACUAUCCCAAUUCAUGAUAAACUAGUUUUGCAUUAUCAAUGCAUGAUGCAUGUACAUUUUCAUGCUGUCAAGGUUGUGCAUGUAAAACAAACCUCUGGUAACAAAGUAAUUCCAUCAUACUAAGGUUGGUAUGAACUCUGAUAACAAAGCAACUCUUUGAGAAGCUUGAUAACUUGGCUGACAUAAAUUACACAUACAAUAGAAGUAACAUCUAUGUUAUUUACGUUAUUGUUACGGGAUAGAAAAAAACAAAACAAAAUAAAAUAUAAAAAAUAUAUUAUAUGUCAUUAAUAAAAUUAUAAUAAUCAUAGUUAUAAAAUCUAAACUAACCUGACAGGUUGAUUUGGAACCUGGACAGUCCAAGUUUAAAAAAGUAGAAGAAGGAUUGACUCGAUCUGAUCUGGUAAAAACCUGAUCACCUGAGACAAAACAUGGUAAAAAACAUGUUUACUUUUUAAAAUUGUUUUUUUUUUUGAAAAUAAGGUUGCUUUUAUUAUUUUAUUUUUUUUAAAGAAGAUUUUGGGUCAAUCUGGGUUGUCCUCUUGGCCCCGAACUUUGUCUUGGUUUAGCUCCCAGAUUGAGUUUUAAAAUUAUGAUAACAACCACUUUUAUCUAUACAUUGACACGAGUCAACCUGGGAUGACCCUUCCGACUCGUGACCUAAAAUUUGCACCGAGUUAAUUUUCAAGUUGGGUUUUAAAACUACGAUAAUAACCAUUUUUAUUCUUAUAUUGACCUGGUCAACACGAGUUGACUCUCCAAAUCCGUGACCUAGCCUUUUCUCUGGGUCAACCCCUAUUCGGGUUUUAAAAUUAUGAUAAUAAUCAUUUUUAUUCUUAUGUUGAUCCAAGUCAAUCCAAGUUGACACUCCCAACCCGUGAUUUAGGUCUUGCUCCUGAUCAACUCCAAGUUAAGUUUUAAAAUUAUGAUAAUAAUCAUUUUGAUCUAUACAUAUCUUAGUUUGAUAAUUUUAGAAUUGAGAGUUUUUACAAUGAUAUUUUAUGAAUAAAAAACAAAAAACAUUGUCUUAGAAGAUAUGCCCUUUUUAUGAUACCUCUUGUUUUGUAAGUAUAGAAACUCACUCCAAAAUUAUCAAGGAACACAUUUAUUUUUAUAUUUUUAUCUUUUCAACUAAACAUAUUUUUGUUUCUUUUAUCACAAGAUAAUAAUUAAAUGUUAACUAAAAAUUUCAAUGUGUUUUUCAACACAAAAAUAUAAAGUGUAAAUUGAAAAGCCAAUGCAAAUAUCUAAAUAAAUAAAUUGAUAAUCAUUUGUAUAAUAUGAGGAGAGGAAAUAACUUAGAGUGGGAGAGGCUGUAAGCAAAUUUUGAAUGAAUAACAUGUAGUUUACAGAAAAGCAAUUUAAACUAACAGGGAACUACAUGUAGUUCACUUCAGUUGAUAUAAACGGCAUGUCGCUUACGACUUCGCUACCUGGUUUCCUAUUUUAUCCUUGAUAAUUACUCUCAAUUCCCAACACUACCACCUUCUAAAAUCCCCGCCUUUCUUCUGCUGUAAAAAAUCACAGCUCCUUCUGAAAAACUAAUAAAGCACUAGCCUUUCGCCACGCAAAACGCUCUUCCUCACCUCAGUUUCUCCAAAAUCACAACGUUAUACACAAGUAAGAACGAGAAUCACUGUAUCUCUUCUGGGUUUUCUAUUUAAGACAGAUUUUGCUUGUUGAAUUUCAACAUGUUUGUGUCAAGUUCGAGUCUUUGCAGAUUUCUACAACAUGCUUAGGUUUUAUUAGAAUUCUAUGCUUUCAGUUUUGAUGUUUCUCUCAUGUGGGCUAUUCAUUUUCUGGCUAAUUCUUCUAUGAACAAGCAAAGAUAUUUAGUGUUGGUAAGGCAUGGCUGGAGUAUCAUCUUGGUUAAAUGAAUUUUUCCCACAGAAAAUGAUGGGAUUACUGAAAUAUCUGUUGUGUUUUGGUAUUGAGUUCUUGCACUGUUGAUGCAUGAAAAAUCACUAUAGUUUAGUUGGCAUUCACUUCAUGAUGAUACCUGUUAUUGAUUCAAGUCCAAUACUAGCACUUUGUUAGAAUCUAUCUAUCAGUUCAUAAGGAAUUGCUUCAAGCAGUUUUCAGGAUGUUGCUAUAAUAUGUUUCUUGAAUCCUUUGAACUGCCAAUUGAAUUGGUGACUCUUAGUACAUAUGCUGGGAAAUGUCAGGUUGGUAUAACACCUAUUACAUGUCCUCUAGAAGUGUCAAAUCUCUCGAAGUAUUGUGAUUUUUCCUGUAUUUUUGGAUUGAAAACGGUAUGCAGUUGAAUAGCUUCUGUGGAUGUAAGUUUUUAUUGCUGGGGCCUGGGAAUUCAAAGAUACGUUGAUGAUGGAUAUUGCAAUAUAUGCAACCUGUGAAAAAAGUUGGGACCAAAGGUAGUAAUUUUUGUAUGGAAAAUCAAAAAUAAUUUUUUUUAAUUUUUAAUAUCAAUAUAUUAAAAUAAUUGAAACAUAUUAAAAAACUAGUUCUUUUCUACACUUGAUGAAAGAACAGAAAAAUUUAAUAUUUUCUUAAAAAUAAACAAGUUUUUAAAAAACACUUAAAGAAAUCUAUUUGUGAAUUCAAAGUUAUUUUUAGAGACACCAGAUAACCUAGUUCUUAUCCACACUUGAUGAAAGAACAGAGAAAUUUCCCUCCUCUACAUGAUUCGAGCUUCUUCUUAUUAUUAUUAAUAAAAGGUUUUCCAUGUUCUUAUAAAUAAAAAUAAAUUUUAAAAAAUAAAUAAAAUAUUAUUUUAAUAUAUUUAUAAAUAAAAAAUAUUUUAAAAAAUAAUUAUUCCUCCUUAAUUUGUUGACGUGAAGCCACCGGACAAGCAAGUCCUUGUCCAUAUACAAAAAUGAUACUUGUCAUAGUGCCUUAAUUACACGAGGGUGCUUAUCCACAUCCAAAUCAUUCAGCUCUCUCUCACUUCCUCUCCCUCUCUCAAUGGCAGCUGAAACAGCUUCCCUUCUUCCCUCACAAGCAUUUCCUAGUCAACCUACCAAGAUAACAAGCAUCAAAACGUUAUCUGAAUCUCCUGGUCUCACCUCCAUCCCCGCCACUUACACCUUCACUCCUGAUCAUCUUGAUCAGGUAACUUGUGUCCCAGAAGGCUCCAUUCCUGUCAUAGAUUAUUCUCUUCUUAUUUCAGGCACUCCCGAUCAACGGUCUAAAACAGUUCAUGAACUUGGCAGAGCCUGUCAGGACUGGGGCUUCUUCACGGUAUAUCUCAUCUCUUUUCAUGUAGCAAGUAAAGCUCUUCAUGUUAUAGAAAUUUGAUCUUUGAUGGCUUGACGUGAUGUCGAAUGACUCUCUCAGCAACUUCGAGGGCUGAACUAGUUGACUAGUGCAUGUCAUGCUCUGUAUUUUGUAAAAAAAUACAAGUAAAAGAAAAACAUAGCAAGAUAACUAGGUUUUUUUUCUUUGAUUUAUAACGUAAAACAAACUUUCAUCCUUCAUAUUUCUUAAUUAUUAGGUGGUCAAUCAUGGGGUGCCGGAGAACCUUCUCAGCUCGAUACUUGAUGGGUGUAAAAGUUUUUUUGAUCUGCCAGAAGAGGAGAAGCAAGAGUUUAAAGGGAACCAUGUAUUGGACCCAAUAAGGUCUGGCACCAGCUUUAAUGUUUCCGUGGAAAAGGCUUUCUAUUGGAGGGAUUUUCUCAAGGUCUUUGUACAUCCGGUGUUCUACUCACCUACCAAACCUGCUGGCCUCAGGUAAAUAAAACGAUCAUCACCCCCUUCAUUAGUAGCUUUUAGUUCUAAUGCGUGUUCCUUUCAAGUGAAUUCAAAGGUGAAAAGAGAUUCUUUUUCUUUUGAGAUAAGACAGAAUCUUGUGAGAAAAUUCAUGAUUAAAGUAGAGGAAUCAUAAGCUUAUAGAAUUUGAAGUUUUUGGUUGGAUCUUUUUUUAUUGUAGUGAGAUUUCAUUAGAGUACUCCCAAAGAGUUAGAGAAGUAGCAAGGGGGUUACUGAAAGGAAUAUCAGAAAGUUUGGGAUUGGAAGGAAGCUACAUAGACAAGGCACUGAAUUUGGAACAGGGGAAACAAAUAUUUAUUGCAAACUUGUAUCCAACUUGUCCACAGCCAGAGCUUGCAAUGGGCAUGCCCCCUCAUUCAGAUCAUGGCUUGUUGACACUUCUAAUCCAAAAUGGAAUUGGUGGCCUUCAAAUUCAGCACAAAGGGAAGUGGGUCAAUGUCGGUGCCCUCCCCAACUCCUUCCUGGUUAACACUGGAGAUCACCUUGAGGUGCAUUCUGACUUCCUGGCCAUGUUAUCCCUUAUUACAAUUAGGCUUGUAGUCGAUCCAAGAUUCCUAAGGCUUAAUAAUGCUGUUAAAAAUGUGAAGUUCUUGUUUUUUUGUUAUAGAUUUUGAGCAAUGGAAGGUACAAGAGUGUUAUGCACCGAGCAAUGGUGAACAGCAAGGCUACAAGGAUAUCCAUAGCUAUGGCACAUGGACCAUCACUAGACUCAGUCGUUAGCCCAGCACCAGAGUUAUUAGUGAGCAGUAAAGGCAAUGAACCAGCAGCAUACGCUGGUAUGAAAUACAAAGACUACCUGGAACUUCAGCAAAGCAACAAGCUGGAUGGGAAAUCUUGCUUGGAUCGAGUUCGAAUUCCAGCAGUUUAGCUACUGCUUCUGUGUGUGUUCCAAACCAUGAAAGUAAUGAUGAUACUUCUAUGAUUUCAUGAACGCGAAGAUGAAUGGAUAAAGAAUGUGAUUGUAAUCAAAAUAAAGAUUUCCUGUAAAAUAUAGACAGUGGAGCUCAGGAAAGCAAGAUAUUAUGUGCUUCUUAUCUGCAGUGUCCUCUUAUAGCUAUGUUUCUUCCCG
This 11826-nucleotide long non-coding RNA is filed under the name Populus tremula. RNAcentral describes it as "long non-coding RNA (PTRE_LNC001404)". Lineage: Eukaryota; Viridiplantae; Streptophyta; Magnoliopsida; Malpighiales; Salicaceae. The record is from RNAcentral.